AUUGAACGCUGGCGGCAUGCCUUACACAUGCAAGUCGAACGGCAGCACGGAGCUUGCUCUGGUGGCGAGUGGCGAACGGGUGAGUAAUAUAUCGGAACGUACCCUAGAGUGGGGGAUAACGUAGCGAAAGUUACGCUAAUACCGCAUACGAUCUAAGGAUGAAAGUGGGGGAUCGCAAGACCUCAUGCUCGUGGAGCGGCCGAUAUCUGAUUAGCUAGUUGGUAGGGUAAAAGCCUACCAAGGCAUCGAUCAGUAGCUGGUCUGAGAGGACGACCAGCCACACUGGAACUGAGACACGGUCCAGACUCCUACGGGAGGCAGCAGUGGGGAAUUUUGGACAAUGGGCGAAAGCCUGAUCCAGCAAUGCCGCGUGAGUGAAGAAGGCCUUCGGGUUGUAAAGCUCUUUUGUCAGGGAAGAAACGGUGAGAGCUAAUAUCUCUUGCUAAUGACGGUACCUGAAGAAUAAGCACCGGCUAACUACGUGCCAGCAGCCGCGGUAAUACGUAGGGUGCAAGCGUUAAUCGGAAUUACUAGGCGUNAAGCGUGCGCANGCGGUUUUGUAAGUCUGAUGUGAAAUCCCCGGGCUCACCCUGGGAAUUGCAUUGGAGACUGCAAGGCUAAGAUCUGGCAGAGGGGGUAGAAUUCACGUGUAGCAGUGAAAUGCGUAGAUAUGUGGAGGAACACCGAUGCCGAAGGCAGCCCCCUGGGUCAAGAUUGACGCUCAUGCACGAAAGCGUGGGGAGCAACCAGGAUUAGAUACCCUGGUAGUCCACGCCCUAAACGAUGUCUACUAGUUGUCGGGUCUUAAUUGACUUGGUAACGCAGCUAACGCGUGAAGUAGACCGCCUGGGGAGUACGGUCGCAAGAUUAAAACUCAAAGGAAUUGACGGGGACCCGCACAAGCGGUGGAUGAUGUGGAUUAAUUCGAUGCAACGCGAAAAACCUUACCUACCCUUGACAUGGCUGGAAUCCCCGAGAGAUCAGGGAGUGCUCGAAAGAGAACCAGUACACAGGUGCUGCAUGGCUGUCGUCAGCUCGUGUCGUGAGAUGUUGGGUUAAGUCCCGCAACGAGCGCAACCCUUGUCAUUAGUUGCUACGAAAGGGCACUCUAAUGAGACUGCCGGUGACAAACCGGAGGAAGGUGGGGAUGACGUCAAGUCCUCAUGGCCCUUAUGGGUAGGGCUUCACACGUCAUACAAUGGUACAUACAGAGCGCCGCCAACCCGCGAGGGGGAGCUAAUCGCAGAAAGUGUAUCGUAGUCCGGAUUGUAGUCUGCAACUCGACUGCAUGAAGUUGGAAUCGCUAGUAAUCGCGGAUCAGCAUGUCGCGGUGAAUAAGGUCCCGGGUCU
Molecule: ribosomal RNA, 1350 nt
Filed under: uncultured bacterium
Lineage: Bacteria
Description: bacterial SSU rRNA
Rfam family: Bacterial small subunit ribosomal RNA
Source: RNAcentral